GAGGGUAUAGCUCAGUGGUAGACUGUAUGCUUAGCAUGCACAAGAUCCUGGGUUCAAUCUCCAGUACCUCCA
This 72-nucleotide transfer RNA is filed under the name Camelus bactrianus (Bactrian camel). It matches the Rfam family "tRNA". Rfam says of the family: Transfer RNA (tRNA) molecules are approximately 80 nucleotides in length. Their secondary structure includes four short double-helical elements and three loops (D, anti-codon, and T loops). Lineage: Eukaryota; Metazoa; Chordata; Mammalia; Artiodactyla; Camelidae. The record is from Rfam by way of RNAcentral. RNAcentral also lists the same sequence under 1 other name.